UACGUAGGGUGCGAGCGUUGUCCGGAAUUAUUGGGCGUAAAGAGCUCGUAGGCGGUCUGUCGCGUCUGCUGUGAAAUCCCGAGGCUCAACCUCGGGCUUGCAGUGGGUACGGGCAGGCUAGAAUUCGGUAGGGGAGACUGGAAUUCCUGGUGUAGCGGUGAAAUGCGCAGAUAUCAGGAGGAACACCGGUGGCGAAGGCGGGUCUCUGGGCCGAUAUUGACGCUGAGGAGCGAAAGCGUGGGGAGCAAACAGG
RNAcentral lists this ribosomal RNA (253 nucleotides) under uncultured bacterium. RNAcentral describes it as "partial 16S ribosomal RNA". It matches the Rfam family "Bacterial small subunit ribosomal RNA", at positions 524 to 776 of the family's 1533-position model. The record is from RNAcentral.